This 442-nucleotide ribosomal RNA is filed under the name uncultured bacterium. RNAcentral's name for it is "partial 16S ribosomal RNA". It matches the Rfam family "Bacterial small subunit ribosomal RNA", at positions 338 to 795 of the family's 1533-position model. The record is from RNAcentral.
CCUACGGGAGGCAGCAGUGGGGGAUAUUGCACAAUGGGGGAAACUCUGAUGCAGCGACGCCGCGUGGGCGAAGACGUCUUUCUGUAUGUAAAGCCCUAUCAGCAGGGAAGAAGACUUGACGGUACCUGAGUUAUAAGCACCGGCUAAAUACGUGCCAGCAGCCGCGGUAAUACGUAUGGUGCAAGCGUUAUCCGGAUUGACUGGGUGUAAAGGGAGCGCAGGCGGCACGGCAAGCCUGAUGUGAAAGCCCGCGGCCCAACCGCGGGACUGCAUUGGGAACUACCGGGCUGGAGUGCCGGAGAGGUAGGCGGAAUUCCUAGUGUAGCGGUGAAAUGCGUAGAUAUUAGGAGGAACACCAGUGGCGAAGGCGGCCUACUGGACGGUGACUGACGCUGAGGCUCGAAAGCGUGGGGAGCAAACAGGAUUAGAUACCCCUGUAGUC